GAUGAACGCUGGCUACAGGCUUAACACAUGCAAGUCGCGGGGCAGCAUGGGGGCUGCUUGCCACCCCUGAUGGCGACCGGCGCACGGGGGAGUUACGCGUAUCCAAACUGCCCUUCACCACGGGGUAACCCGGCGAAAGUCGGACUAAUUCCGUAUGUUGUACAUUGACGGCAUCAAAUCUGGACGGAUUGCUUGGGGACGCAAGGAUGGGGAUGCGUUCGAUUAGCUUGACGGCGGGGUAACGGGCGACCGUGGCUCCGAUCGGUAGGGGUGCUGAGGGGAAGGGCCCCCACAGGGGAACUGAGACACGGGCCAGAAUCCUACGGGAGGCAGCAGUGAGGAAGAUUGGUCAAGGGGCGUAAGCCUGAACCAGCCAAGUAGCGUGCAGGAUGACGGCCGUAUGGGUUGUAAACUGCGUUUAUGCGGGGAUAAAGUGGCCGACGAGUGGUCUUGUGCAGGUACCGCAUGAAUAAGGACCGGCUAAUUCCGUG
This 491-nucleotide ribosomal RNA is filed under the name uncultured bacterium. RNAcentral's name for it is "partial 16S ribosomal RNA". It matches the Rfam family "Bacterial small subunit ribosomal RNA", at positions 28 to 507 of the family's 1533-position model. The record is from RNAcentral.